AAACUGGGCUCAGUGGUCUGAUCAGGGUUUAGAUGGAGGGCCUGAGUCAAGGAACUCCAGAAUCCCACUUUUUGAAUCUGUGUGAGACUGGAUUACACUGAGAGCAAACAGGUCAUACCUGUCUGUGCUGUGAGAAAGUUCGUAGACUUGGAGUUGGCCACCUUGGCUAGACAGAACAAAAAGAACCAUCAGAGCUUACACCAUUUACUGCAUUUAGAGAUGGGUGAACCCAACAGGAACAUGGGGUUGCAGGCUACUGGGAGUGUGAUGGUUUACAGGGAGUGGCACCAUUAGGAAGUGUUGUCACUGUGGGUGUGGGCUUAUGACCCUCACCUUCGCUGCUUAGAAGGAAGUCUUCCACUAGCAGCCUUCAGAUGAAGAUGUAGAACUCUCAGCUCCUCCUGCUCCAUGUCUGCUGGAUGCUGCCCUGCUCCCACCUUGAGGACGAUGGACUGAACCUCUGAACCUGUAGGCCAGCCCCAAUUACAUGCUGUUCUUGUAAGACUUGCCUUGGUCAUGGUGUCUGUUCACAGCAGUAAAACCUUAAGACAGGGAGGGAAUUGGUUGGGGUGUCUUAAAAAUGAGGCUUCAAAGAUUUUGCAGAAAGUGGGAUUCACCUUUUAGUUAGCCCACAGGUUGCUAAAGGAAUUUUUAAAAAAUGAACACUCAGGUCCUUGAGGUUUAAAAAUCUUAGCACCAUGGAGAAGUGUCUUGCUCUAGCAUGGAAGCCGCUUGACUGUUCUAACGGUGUUAGUGAGUCUCGGUCUUGUAGUUAAGAGCCCUGAAGGCCUUAAGGAGAUACUGAGCUGUCUCCUUAGUUCUGGAAACCUGUCUUGGUUGAUAAAAAGCUCACCUUCUCUGGAGGAAAGUUCUCAUCUGCACCCAGAGGGAGCUGAACCCUUGGGCACUUGAACAGUGAAGAGGCAGAUGUCUGGUAUCAGCUUUGUCUUCCUCCUAGCCAGCCUUACAGAGGCCCGGGACUCUGCUGAAUGGCCGAAAUGAACCAAAUGGUUGGGGAGAAAUUACCCUUGAAAUGGAUACUCCUUAGUAAACUGGCCCUUGGGGGGAAGGAUGAACAUGGCUGUCCCAUGGCUCCUGGCAUGGGGAGAUCUGUCCUGUGGGAAAAGCUAAGUCACUCCGAGGCUGCAGGGAAGUGAAGGGAACUCAGCCUUGCAUUUUGCUGCUGUGCAGAGGGUUUCAGCUCAUUAUGCAAUAGCUGAUUUUGGAGUGGACUUCCUGAGAUCCCAGUGACUAAAUGACUACGCCUAAGUAAUUUAAGCAUAAAUUGUUGACAAUAAAGAGCUUAAAAGCAUAGGCAUCUGUGAAGUUUUGUCAUGGAACAUUACUCUCCUGAGGUGUUGAGUAGUGGGUGGAUACUUUUGAGAAAUUAUGUGCCACUUUGAGGUAAAAAUAUGGAAACCUGUUCCUUAAUCAUCCUGAUUUUACUAUGGUAGAGAGAGUUAGAAGAGGUGGUUUGGACUAGGGUUGUCUCAACUUUAAUGAUUGGAAAAGGCUGUAUGUAAAAUUAAUUAUUCUGAAAAACAAAAACAGCUGUUCUCAGCUCUCACUGAGAAUGUCUAAAAUGCCCUGACUACUCAGAAGUCUGAUGUAAUGCGCUCACUCAGCAGACUUUUGACCAGUCUCCUGUCUCCCAGUGUUUGGGGCAGAGAUGCCCUGGCUGCCAAGGUGGGUGUGGCCCCCUCCUUGUGGUGUCACAGCACAGCAUCAAGAAUUAGCCCCUGGCUAAGUUCCACCAAGGAUAUGAGGGCUGUCCUCACUGUGCUUCUUUUGCAGUGAUGAAUGGUGUGUUGUAUUUGCUUUCCGAGUUUCAUGUUUGGUAGGAGGCUGAUGGAUCUAUGAGUUCAAGGGCAGUCUAGUCUACAAAGCAAGUUCCAGCACAGCCAGAGCUAUAGGGACUCUGCCUUAAAACAAACAAACCUAAUGGGGAGCAUACUGGUUUUAUGUGGUACAAGGAAGCCAGGGGUAUUUUUGACACCAAAAGUUUUGUACUUAGGAAACAUGUUAAGGGGCCUACACAACAGAAUGGCAAAUCCAAACCACUCACUGCCUAGAUUUUACUGGCUUUAACUUGUAAACUGAAAAUACCAGGUGUGCUUUAGCUCUAUGGUGACCCUUCCAAAGUCAGAAGCUGGCUCCUAUUGGAGACCCCCUCCCCCCCACCCAACUUGGUCUGGUCUAGUAAGGCUAGUGAAGACCAAGUUUGUUUUUCUGACAUUUGGAAAAGCUGGCUGUGUUUGCGCGUGCAAGUAUGUAUAGGCCAGUCGUUGGCACCAGGGGUCUUAACUGUUGUCUUGUGUAUGAAAUGGGGUGCCAUGGCCUGCACAUGGAAGUCAGAGUGUCCAUGGGUAUUGGUUCUCGCUUCACCAGGGUUGCAGGGAUUAAACUACAGUUGUCAGGAUUGAGAGGAUGGCAUUACCUGCUUGUCCAAAAACUUGCUUUUUGAGACAGGGUCUAUCAUGUGGACCAGGCUGGCCUUGAACUUACAGAGCUCUACCUGCCUCUGCCUGAGUGCUUUCCUCCUUAUUAUUUUGGGGAUAGGGUCUCUCAUAAAACCUGGAGCUCACCGACUUGGCUACACUGACUGGCUCUUGAGCUCCAGGGACCUGUCCGAUCCUCUUGUGUGUCUGGUGUGCCCACUGAUGUGCAGUGGCUGCUGGCUUUCCCAUGGAUGCUGGGGAUCUGAACCAGGGCUCCUCAGCUUACACACAGGCAAGCGGUUACCAGCUGGAAUGCUGAGCUUUCUCCCUCAAGCUGUUUGGCUUUGGUAGCUUGCUUUAUGAGAUGUCUAAACAAAUUCUGUAAGGCUGGUCCAAAUCUAAUGGACAACAGCAGCCUUUAAAAUCUUUUUUCUAUGUUAAAGUUUUGUGUUACGCUUUGCUCUAGGCCCUCGAAUCCUCCUGGGUAUGAAGUUAAACAGGCUGGGCUGCCAAGUGAGCUAGGAAUUGAACCUGGGUUCUCUGGAGGGACAGCCAGUGCUCUUAACCCUGAGCCACUUCUCCAGUCCACACAGCAGCCCUUUUAAUGCAUAUAUAUGUAUGCCUGAACUGGAGAAACAAAACCAGCAUUUGAAUAGAAUUCUGCCUAGUACCGUAGCAUAGGCUUUUAACCCCAGGACUCAGGUGGCUAAGGCAGGCAGUUGGCUAAGAGUUCUAAGCCAGGUAGUUCCAGUCAGGGCUACUGAUAAUUCAGUGUGAAGUGUGUAUCACCAUGUAAGGCCUGAAUAGCUUCCUUAUGUUUAAAGUUUCCAUCAUUAGAAGUUCCGCACCAUGGUACCCUUCGUUGGAGCAAAGUGAAAUGAAUUCGAGCAAGAACCAGUAAGGCAAGUACUCUGAAAUGCUGAGAUGAGGCUGCUUGGUAUACACACCCGUAAUCCCCACCUUGAGUCCAAGGCGGGGCUGAAGUAAUUGACAAGAUCAUUUCUCAAGAGUAAACUUGCCAAAAUGAGUUAUUGCCAACGUGUAUCCUAUCAAGCUCCGAAUCCCGAGACUACUACCAAAACUAACAGUGGUCUAUUCUUAUACAACUCUUAGGUUUCUAUUGUGACCAAAAGCAUCUUGUAAAGGAAGAGGUUCAUUUCAGCUUGUGAUCUUCAGGUCCCACCCAUCACUGAGGAAGUCAGGGGAAGGAACCUCAAGGAAUAAGAACUGAAGGUACCCAUGAUGUGCGGAGGGUAGACACUAGAGUGAUGGUGCCUUGCUUGGUAAGCAUGUGAACCAAAGGAGGGGCUGUGAAUUUCACCUGCAAUGGGCAAAGCGUUUUACGUGUGAAACAGCGAUCAAAUCACACUGCUGGAGCCACCCAAUUUCUCGGUCUGCUGAGCAAACAUUUCUGUGCUAAAAUUCUCCAUUAGCACCGGCAGAGGCUUUUUUUAACAAACGUAAAGGUGCUUCACAUGCAUGUAGCCCCGGGAAGCUGGAAGAGGGAACGGGAUCCUCUGGAAUUGGAGUCACAGAUGGUCGUGAGCCACCAUGUGAGUGCUGGGGACCAAAUGAGGAUCCUAUGAGAGCAACGGUGCUCUUAACCACAGAGCCAUUCAUUACGAGCCCCCAGCCCGUCAGCAAGCACAUUAAUACAGUGGGGAACUGGUACUACCGUUUUCUUUUUUUUUUUCGGAGCUGGGGACCGAACCCAGGGCCUUGCGUUUGCUAGGCAAGCGCUCUACCACUGAGCUAAAUCCCCAACCCCCUACUGUUUUCUUAGAGGCAGAGGCCUACCACCCAGCUGAGGCAAGAGGAAGCUGUGACUGACUGUCUACACUGAUUGCUGAGUAGAGGGAACUAGAACAACCGCUCCAUUUAAGGAUCCAGCUUCACGGCCCUGAAGGAGAUUUAGACCACCGAUCAAGCCUCUGCCAUUACAGAGGGACUGCUAUGAAGAUGGACAUUCACAGAGCUCAAGCAGUGUGACGUCCCGAAAUUCUCUUCAAGACGAGUGUUUCCACCCUAUACAGAUCGAUCAGCAACUGUACGCUCUACAGGUUUCCUUGGCUGUCCCAAUCUUACAGGCAACUCUCUACACUUUUAACAGACGGUAAAAAUGCAGAUCUUUGAAAGAUGAACACACAAGCAUCAAGAAUCGUCAUAUAAAUUUAACUCUUCAGCCAGUAAGCUAAGCAAUGUAGUCCUGGUAGGACAGCAUUAUUAGUACAUGAGGUAGCAGAUAAUUCUACUUGAAAGAAAAAAAUCAGGUGCAGGCAUUCAGUAAAAAAGAAACCACAUGGUUACAGAGUUCUACAGAGCAGUGAAAACACAUCGGACCCACACAGUACAAACUACAGCCACUUGUUUUUAAGGGCAGAAAUCUGCAAGAGAAACAGGUAUAAGAAGAGGACUAAGCAUUUCCCAGGCCUUGUCAGCUCCUCUGCCUGUCUGAUAUUAAAACCCAACAUGGGAAAAGGACAUCAACACAUUCUGCUAAGUAGUACUUUAUAUUCUUCUCUAUUCUUUCCUAUACUGGCAAUUUUCAGCCAGCGCCAAUACAGUUUGUUUGGCCUGCCCAGAACUCAGACACCUUCUGACAGCAGCUCACCCAUUUUCUUUAUGGGAAUUGACAGGAUUCUCAGUCCACAAUGGCUAAACAGAGACCAUGUAGCGGCAGGAGCAGGUGUAUUCCCCAGGCCAGCUAAUGAAGGGAGUUUACACAGAGGUAAGAGUGAGGCGUGGAAUUCCCUAGCCGAGGAACAGGUCAACAAAGAAAGAACACGGCUGAGACACGGAGAGAAGCAAGGCCAGCGGCUGACUCUCAUGUGAGCCAAUACACCUUCCCUUCAGCCAGCGCAUUUCUGAACCACUUACUUUCAUACUGCUUUUUAACUGUGUUUCCUAUAUCAGCAAAUUUCCUGUCUUCAAAUAUUAAAAACUCAUGGCGUUUUGCCAGGGUUGUCAACUCCUCCAUCACAUCCAGAGUAAAAUCGUUCAGAAUAUCGACAUGAGUUUUGAGCAUGCAGAUGCUGGGUCCUAGGGCAUCGGCUAGCUGCAGCAGCUCUCUGGCCUCCGACACGUCAGCAGACAGACACAGAUUGGUCUCCUUCUUCUGCAUGAGCGUGAGAAGCUUUGAGGCAAGUGGGUGGACUCCAGGCAGCUCUGCUCGGGCGCCAAAGCUCAGUUCCUUGCAUGCUUUCUUCUCGGGAGGGGGAACGCCAUUAUGGUUAGCUGCUGUGAACACAUUCUCCUGAAUGAACCUCUUCACUCUCCCGACCAUCUCAGCGUCGAUCUUUUUCUGCUGCUCAAGGAUCUCCAGCAUUUCCGACAACGUGCACACAGAGUGGAGACGGAUGCCCUGAGCCUGCAG
Molecule: non-coding RNA, 5811 nt
Organism: Rattus norvegicus (Norway rat)
Lineage: Eukaryota; Metazoa; Chordata; Mammalia; Rodentia; Muridae
Source: RefSeq, a predicted model, not a curated record